AUUGAACGCUGGCGGCAGGCUUAACACAUGCAAGUCGAGCGGGGUGAUGGUGCUUGCACUAUCACUUAGCGGCGGACGGGUGAGUAAUGCUUAGGAAUCUGCCUAUUAGUGGGGGACAACAUCUCGAAAGGGAUGCUAAUACCGCAUACGUCCUACGGGAGAAAGCAGGGGAUCACUUGUGACCUUGCGCUAAUAGAUGAGCCUAAGUCGGAUUAGCUAGUUGGUGGGGUAAAGGCCUACCAAGGCGACGAUCUGUAGCGGGUCUGAGAGGAUGACCCGCCACACUGGGACUGAGACACGGCCCAGACUCCUACGGGAGGCAGCAGUGGAGAAUAUUGGACAAUGGGGGGAACCCUGAUCCAGCCAUGCCGCGUGUGUGAAGAAGGCCUUAUGGUUGUAAAGCACUUUAAGCGAGGAGGAGACUCUUUUGGUUAAUACCCAAGAUGAGUGGACGUUACUCGCAGAAUAAGCACCGGCUAACUCUGUGCCAGCAGCCGCCGUAA
Molecule: ribosomal RNA, 503 nt
Filed under: uncultured bacterium
Lineage: Bacteria
Description: partial 16S ribosomal RNA
Rfam family: Bacterial small subunit ribosomal RNA
Source: RNAcentral